GCUCAGGAUGAACGCUAGCUACAGGCUUAACACAUGCAAGUCGAGGGGUAGCAGGGUAGCAAUACCGCUGACGACCGGCGCACGGGUGAGUAACACGUAUCCAACCUUCCCAUAACUCGGGGAUAGCCUUUCGAAAGAAAGAUUAAUACCCGAUAGUACUUAAGAAAGGCAUCUUUUUUAAGUUAAAGAUUUAUUGGUUAUGGAUGGGGAUGCGUUCCAUUAGAUAGUUGGUGAGGUAACGGCUCACCAAGUCUUCGAUGGAUAGGGGUUCUGAGAGGAAGGUCCCCCACAUUGGUACUGAGACACGGACCAAACUCCUACGGGAGGCAGCAGUGAGGAAUAUUG
Molecule: ribosomal RNA, 345 nt
Filed under: uncultured Bacteroidales bacterium
Lineage: Bacteria; Pseudomonadati; Bacteroidota; Bacteroidia; Bacteroidales
Description: bacterial SSU rRNA
Rfam family: Bacterial small subunit ribosomal RNA
Source: RNAcentral